AUUUAGAUAUAUAAAGGACAUGAAGAUUGGCCUCACUUGCCCAGUUCUGGAAAACUUGCUUAUUGUGAAAGUAAAGAACUGAAAAAUAAGUCUGUUUUUCCAUGCCAUGAAACACCUUGAAUAUAUGACACCUCACUGAUGUAACUUACAGAAGUGUAAUGUGUAAACAGCAGAUUAGGAUACUGUAAUUAGGGGGUUUUCAUUGCAUCAAACCAUAUCUUAAUGAUUAGCCUUACUAUGCAGCCUUUUUUACAUAUAUUAAGUUUCUUUCAAUGAAAAGCAAAAUGAUAAAAUACACCAGCUCUCCACAUUCAAAUUCUAGAAACUAUAGUUAAUAAGGACAGAUAUAUGAUAUUAAUAUCAUUUUAAUGUAAUUUCUCCACAAACUAAAAAUGUUCUUCACAUUGAACCCUAUUUAUCCCAUACAGGUAAACAAAUGAAAAAGAGGUUCAACACUGAACAAAAUACUUCUGGGGAAAAUACAGUGAUCUGUUGAAAGGUUAAUAAAAAUAGAAAGACAUUUAAACUUUUUUUGGACAAUUCCAGGGGGGUUUUAAUGGGUACUAAAGGGCAUAGAAGAAAUAUCAGCAUUGUUUCUUCUGCAUCAUAAGUGAUCUUUCAUGAUUAUUGAAUAAAAAACAUGUUCACUGUUACAUAGGUGUGAUAUCCAAAUAAGACUAAUUUGCAAGUAAAAGAACACUCCCUUAAAAAUGUUCUGAGAUCAUCUCCAGGUUAGGCUUGAAAAUAAAAAACUACAUCUAAUUUCUCUAUAUGAAAAUACAAGAUAUGGAAUAGCAAGUUAAGAUGAAGGAAACAUAGUAAUUUGUUUCUUAGGCUUUCCAGUUAAUCUUCCUGCACAUAGAUAUUAAUUUCCAAUAUUUUCUCAUACGUAAUUGAACUUUCUUUUCUGCAGCAAUGAUAGUAAUCCUCCUCAUUUCUUCUCCCUUCUUCUCAUUUUCUCCUAUUUUCAUAUUUAGGAAGAGGGCAUCUCAUUUCUGAGGAGCCUGGUGACCCAGGACUGGCAGCACACAUGGACAUUCUCCGUGCUUUCAUUGGGACAGGGAAGUGCAGUGCUGAGGACUCCCUCACUGAGAUCCUGACUGCCAGCCACAUCAUGCUGGAGGUGGGGGAGGACCUGGCUUGGGACCUGGCUUUGCACGAGCUGACAGCUGUGUUUUCCCUUUCUGCAGAAGGAAAGAGAGAAAGGGAAAAGCUGUUGUGUCAUCUGAGAGAGCAUCUCCAGCUGGGAACGUUGUCCUUUGCCUGCUGCCAGUGUGCUGCAAACCAGCACUAGAGAUAAAGAUUUUCAGAGAGAACUGACGCUGACAGGGGGAUGUUGUGAAGAAGCCUGAGCCUCCCAGGUCUUUCUGCUGAGAAUGGCAACGAUUUAAUGAAGAGGUGCAAAUGGAUGCAUGAGUGGCAAGGGAUGCCAGGCUGGCUCCAAAUCAGGAUGCAGAGACUUCCAACUGGAAAAGCAAACAGAAGAGGACACCCUCAUAUCCUCACAUUCCCAGUCAAUUCUUUUAUUAAUUUCUUUUCUAUUGAUAAGCCACCCCCAGCUGAAUGUAUUUUCAACCAGAUAGAAGCCUGUGUGAUUGUCUCAGGCAUUCUCCUGCCCGUGCUGCAGGGACAGGACUCCUAUAUUUUCAUUUCUUAUGAAAAAAAUGGUGUACUCAAUUUGUAUUUUCCUCUUUGACCAAGAAAGCAUGUGGAAUGCAUUGUUCCAAUCUGCAGUUUUUAUUUAAACCCUUUAUUUUAAUGGAUACUCAGAUGUCAGUCUGUUUAAUCACUCAAUGCAUUUUACUGUUUCCUCUGGAUUUUGAAUAUCUAUUUGUUAGAGCUUAUAUGUGCAGGGACAAUUUUCAUUUUUUUUAUAUCAUGAAGGUAUAGCUUCAGUUAUUAAUGACUGAAGAUUGUGGUUGUCUUCAUAAAUGAUGAUUAAGCCCUUACUUCAUGGACUAUUUAAAUACUUUUGGAACAAAGAAGUACUCAGUAUAGGAAUUCUUCUUCCUCUUGAACUGAACAGCAAAACAGCAAUCCGUUUCAAGAGGUAAGAUUUUAUCCAGGGCAGCAAAAGAGUGCCGUGUUCUGGUCCUGAGAUAUAAGAAUAUAUUUCAUGCUAAAAUAUUUGAAGUUUAUGAGUACUUAAAUCAUAUUCUAGUGACUUCUUAUGAGGAAUGAUGCCUUAAGUUUUAGCUCUCAUAUUUUUUAGAUUCUGUGCUGCCUAGGUGUGUAGCUCUGAACUUCAUAUUGAGUGUUAGUAAGCUGUCUUCACAGAGUAGGUAGACAAAACAAUCCUUUUCCAGCUUGAGACCAAAGACAACCUUGGUUACAAGUUUCAUGCCCAAAAAGCAUAAACAACAGCAGAAUGAACAGAGAAAACAAGGAGAAUGGGACUUCACAAAGUGAAGCUGUAAUUGGACAAUUACCCCCAAUAUGCAAAUGGACCAAGACUUAUAAAAGUGUGCUGGCUUAUGACAAAUCAUCCAUUUUGUGACCAUUUAAGGUCCAUCUUGGGUAUGGCCUGGCCAGGCUCUUGUGCUGCCCAAGGUGCAUCCUUUUAAGGCCUUUCAAAAAUACCUACUUUCUUCUCUUAGCUCAGUCUAGUCUCUGUUUCAGGUCAGCCUCUCAUGGCAUCAGGAGAACUAAAAUUUUACUUAAAAUAGGGAAUUACAGUAAAGGAUAGAUUAAUAUAUUUUUUGAGGGGGAUGUGUUCCAUCUGCAAAGUGCUAGUGCUAGUGCUUGCCAGAGUUGCCCUCCAGCUCCCAUGGCAGCAAAAACGUCAGCUACCCAAAAGGUGCCUGCAUCAGCAGAAGUGGGGAACAUUGCAGGAUCCAUCACACACAGACUUCUGUAGCAGGAUGACUACAGUAGAUUGAGGAAUCUAACUUGCAAUAUUCACUUGGUACAGCAUGAUAGAGAUUACUUUUUUCCCUUCUUAGCUUUAUUUUCCUUUUCUUUCCCCACUGUACCUUCAAGGCAUUUAGAAAUAACUUAGUACUGGGAAUUUUUUAUGUUUUUUGCUUAUACAAAAUAUGUCUUUAUUGCUUUUCUACUGAAAGUAAUAACAUAAUCCAAGUGGUUUAAAAAUAACCGUACAAUAUCUGUUCUGAGGGAAAAAGAUUUACCUAAGGAAAUUUGUUUGGGAGUCUUUAAAGUGCCCUCUGGAUAUUAUUACCAUACUGUCUCUACUAAUUUUCUGUAAGGGUGUCAGAUGUUUCCUCUCUUCUGUGUUUGAUGUGGUUAUCAGACUUCAGAUUGAUAACUACAUUAAGAAGACUUAAGUAUUUUUAAUAAUUUUUGGGUGAAAAUUAAUUGAGUGUAACUCAAAGAAGGGAGGGUAAUUGAGGCCUUUUAAAAUAUAAAUAAGUGCUGCUAAAAAAAAGAAAAUGUUAUGACAGUUCUUUUAGAAGUCAUGAAGGUGAGAUCACAGUCUUCGAAGUGUAUUUAAGUGCUUUCAUCAAAAUAAACUGCAGUUGGUUAAAAUAGGUAUCUAAA
Haemorhous mexicanus (house finch) is the source of this 3498-nucleotide long non-coding RNA. RefSeq lists it as uncharacterized. NCBI's taxonomy places the organism in Eukaryota, Metazoa, Chordata, Aves, Passeriformes, Fringillidae. The transcript has 3 exons. The record is from RefSeq and is a predicted model, not a curated record.